UGUGUGUGCGUGCGUGUGCGUGUGUGUGUGCAUGUGCACGUGUGUGU
RNAcentral lists this microRNA precursor (47 nucleotides) under Otolemur garnettii (small-eared galago). RNAcentral describes it as "miRNA (ENSOGAG00000025453.1)". Lineage: Eukaryota; Metazoa; Chordata; Mammalia; Primates; Galagidae. The record is from RNAcentral.